ACUUUAACAUGGAGGCACUUGCU
RNAcentral lists this non-coding RNA (23 nucleotides) under Gallus gallus (chicken). The record is from RNAcentral. RNAcentral also lists the same sequence under 9 other names. Lineage: Eukaryota; Metazoa; Chordata; Aves; Galliformes; Phasianidae.